UCUCUCUCUCUCUCUCUCUAGAAGAUGAAGAUGCAGCAAACACCAGCACAACCUAAACCCAUUUGAUUUCCCGUUGAUGUACAAUCCCCACCCCACAUGUCGAUUUAUUGGAAUCGAUUUCAUCAUCUCUCAUUUCAAGAUCUGGGGUUGCAGGCGUGUUAUCUCCUUCUUCCCUAAAUGUUGAUUUUAUCAUCUGUCGAUUUCUUGUCGAUGUACACUGUCAAGACCUUCAUCUCCAUUACAAUAAUUUGAGAGCCAUCAUCAAGAAUCACCAUCAGAUCGACGAAACUAAAGCAACACCAUAAAUUAUUUCUAAGUUCUUGAAUCUAGUCCGAAAAACAUGAGCCUCCGUUUCUCAUCGCAAGAUUCGAUUUUAAUCUUCAUUUUUUGAGGUUUCGCUCAACAUUUCAACAUCUGGUUCAAGAAUAAGUUUGCUCGUAGGUUAUAGCUUACAUCUCUAUAUUUGUUCAAGAAUUCCUUCUUGUUCGUUUUUUAAACAAUUAAAUUAAAUGGAAUUUUUUUUCCAGAUUCCGGAAAAAGCAGGCAGUCUCGCCAGAGAAGAUGAAGGAAUGAGAGGCAUUCUACGAAAAUGGUGGUGCUAGGAACUCGAUGUGGAAUGGUUGCUUGAUCUGUAAUCGAUUUCAAUUUCAUCAGAUUUCCAGUGAGUAAUUGUCUUCCUCGGAGGCUCUGAAAGAAUAUAUUCAACCAUGAUCGAUUGUUCUUCCUUAGGGAUGAAUAUACAAGCACAAAUCAAUUUUUAGAAACAAAAACCACACAUACAAAUCGAUUUCAUACUUUUUUCUAGGUUUUUAGUUCCUAAAUCAAUUUUAAAGGACAAACGAGUUCGUAUUCAUUUUCUGGGGUUUUUUUUUUUGAUGUUCCAGAUUUAUUUUGGUGUUUCAGAUUUAAUUUUGAUUUUUUUCUACUUCUAGAAAUGGUUUAGGAGUUAUGAAAUGUUUUUUUUUAUGUUUGUAUGUAUGUGUUGUUGGUGCCAUG
This 996-nucleotide long non-coding RNA is filed under the name Lactuca sativa (garden lettuce). Its description in RNAcentral is "long non-coding RNA (LSAT_LNC000220)". Lineage: Eukaryota; Viridiplantae; Streptophyta; Magnoliopsida; Asterales; Asteraceae. The record is from RNAcentral.